UACGAAGGGGGCUAGCGUUGUUCGGAAUUACUGGGCGUAAAGCGCGCGCAGGCGGUUUCUCAAGUCAGUGGUGAAAGCCCGGAGCUCAACUCCGGAACUGCCAUUGAAACUGUGAGACUUGAGGACGAGAGAGGUGAGUGGAAUUCCCAGUGUAGAGGUGAAAUUCGUAGAUAUUGGGAAGAACACCGGUGGCGAAGGCGGCUCACUGGUUCGUUUCUGACGCUCAGGCGCGACAGCGUGGGGAUCAAACAGG
This 253-nucleotide ribosomal RNA is filed under the name uncultured bacterium. Its description in RNAcentral is "partial 16S ribosomal RNA". It matches the Rfam family "Bacterial small subunit ribosomal RNA", at positions 524 to 776 of the family's 1533-position model. The record is from RNAcentral.